AUGGAUCCUAAUGGCUCCUAUCCUAACAAAGUCAGAUCUAGUGAAAGUGAGGCCAAAAUUUCUCCCUUGCAUGAUGCUCCGAGAGGCAGAGCGAUCAUGCCGAUGUUGAGUGAUUUUGUUCCCCUGAAUUCCACACCAUCAGAUUCAACUUGGGUAUGGAACACCCCACCUACCAUUGAUGCACCACAUGUAGUUACCAUGCCAUCAAUCAAAGAUUGUUCCAUCAUGCCAUAUCAAACCAGUGUAUCACUAUCAUCACUACCUCCACAGUUGCCUGAUGCAAAGUUUACUCCUUCAACUAGGGUCAAUACCCUUCCUUCUCUGCCCAACCAUAGGGAAAUCUUUGAGAACCCGCUAGAAAUAUUCUCGCACCAAGAUUUCCUGUCAAACCCAAUUAGGAACUACUUUAGUUCAUCGGAUCAAAGGAGGAUCUUUUCCAUGGAGUCUCCAUCAAUUACAUCCUUACUCCAAGGAGAUCCCAUUGCAGUUGUCAAUGCCCACCUUAAUACUAUUGGAGCAAUAGAUGAUGGUCCAAUCUUUGAGAUCCCAACCAGGAGCGUCUACAAGGGUCCACAAAAUAUACCACAUGGGACGCUAACCCGUGAUGCUAGUUAUGUUGUGCCUACCCCUUUUGGUCCAUUCGCCACAUCCUCACAUGACCCCAGAGAAGACAAGACUCCUAUGGGUGUACCAAAUGGCAUUACUAAUAGUGGUAUUGUGCAUACUACUACGAGUUCACGUAAGUACAGAUGCAGCAUUUGCAAUCUCACCUUCAACUCAUCUCAAGCCUUUGGUGGUCACAUGAGUUCCCAUAGCAAAGCAAGGAAGAACAAGCUACAAAGUUGA
RNAcentral lists this ribosomal RNA (846 nucleotides) under Triticum aestivum (bread wheat). RNAcentral's name for it is "partial small subunit ribosomal RNA". Lineage: Eukaryota; Viridiplantae; Streptophyta; Magnoliopsida; Poales; Poaceae. The record is from RNAcentral.